ACUAGUGGCGCGCGGUCUGCGGGGGCUUCCGGCUGCCUCAGCGGGGACCUGAGCGAAGGAGGCUCGGGGCCGGGGUGCGGGGGCGUCCGGGGGCGAGCGGAGUGAGUGCAGACCCCUCCUCAUCGCACCCUGUCUCGUCGUACCCUCUCCCCGCGGCCCACCUGGGGCCAGGGUUCCAGAUUCUCGGGCCCCGGCUCCGGCUCAGACCGAAGGGCCCCGCGGGGCCUCCCCGAUUCUCUCCCCCGCCCAGGGACAUCAGGAGGCAGCCGAGGCCGAGAUGCCUGGACAGAGACCCAGGAAGGGCCCCCAGGCCCGAGGCCAGGGGGUGGCAACGGCCAAGCAGUUGGGGCUCUUUGUGGAGUUCAGUCCAGAAGACAUGUUGCUGGAGGACCAGGAUGGCGAGGAGGAUGACGGAGACUUAGAGGCAGAGCUGCUAGCCCUCACUGGCGACACCAGAGCCCCAGAGAGCAAGGCCAGGCCCAAAGGGAAAGUUCCCCUGCCCAUGGCCCACAUCGACAAGCUCGCUGCUGAGUGCAUGCAGGAUGUGGGGGACGAGGCCUCGGAUGAGGAAGACGAAGAGCUGGAGGCGGAUACAGACCUGCUGGCGGAGCUGCAGGAGGUCCUGGGAGAGGAGGAUGCCGGACAAGGCAGCCCUGAAGAGGUGGCGGCCCCCAUGCAGCCUUCUGCCCCGGUAGCCCUUGAGGUGCCCGAGCUGGGGGCCGGGGGCUCCCCUUCCCAGGGGGUGCCCACGGCAGGAGGCCUGCAGGGGCUGCUGGAGGAGCGAAUUGCCAAUUACCAGGCUGCAGCUGCUGGCGCCAAGGAGGCGGGGGACGGGGCCAAAGCCCGGCGGUGUGAGCGAGGCCUGAAGACCCUGCAGACCCAGCUGACGGCUGUGAAAAAGGGCAAAACAAUCACUGAGGAAGAGAUCCCACCCCCUGUGGCCUGUGGGAAGAGGCCAGAGCUGCCCCCAAUUGCAGAAAGUGAAGGCUGUGGGGAACUCCCAGCUUCUCCAGGCCCUCCAGCUACCUCGGACUCCUCAACUGCACUGGGACCUUCAGCUACCCCGGGCCCCCCAACUGUCCCAGCACCCCUGGAAGCAGCUGCUCCUGAGCCAGGCUGUCGGCUGCUGUUGCUAACCCGGCAGAAAGAAUACAAAGAGGCCGCCUUGAAAGCCAAGCAGGAGGGAGACCUGGAGCGGGCCCGAGAGUGCAUGAGGAUUGGCAAGAGGUUUGGUGCUGUGCUGGAGGCAUUGGACAGUGGGCAGCCUGUGGACCUGAGUGGCAUGCCUCCUCCCCCUUCAGAGCUCAAGGCUCCCCAGAAGGCCCUGCCGGCCCCGAGCCCUGGCCCCCUGGAGCAUUCGAAGCCUGUGAUGUCAGCCCCUUCCCGGGCUCCAGUGGCCCCUCCCCAGCCCCAGACGGUACUAGAGGCCUUGGGCCAGAGGCUAAGCAAGUACCAAGAAGCUGCAGCCCAGGCCAGAAGCAGCGGAGACGAGCGGAAGGCCCGCAUGCACGAGCGCAUUGCCAAGCAAUACCAGGAGGCCAUCCGAGCUCACAAAGCCGGGCGGAAAGUGAACUUGGCUGAACUUCCUGUCCCCCCAGGCUUCCCUCCUAUCCCUGGCUUGGAGCCCCCCUUGGGCCCUGAGGACAACCCAUUAGCUGCAGCCUUGAAGGCGGCUCAGCUUCUGGGUGGCCAUGAGGAGAAUGAGGACGAGGAUGAGGAAGAGUCCCUGCCCCAGGCUCCAGUGGCCAAGAAGCCGGCUCAGCGGCCUAGCCAAGCUCCCCAGGUAGCCAGGCCCUCGGUUGUGCCAUCCCCUGAGCCCAAGGGCUCUACCUCCCAGGAGGCCUUGUCCCCAGCAGCCCGGGAACAGCUGGCCUUGCUGGAGAGCCGCAGACUCCAGUGCCAGCGAGCUGCCCUGCAGGCGAAACGGGCCAAGGACCUGGAGCAGGCCAAGGUCCACCUCCGGGCAGCAAAGGCACUGGAUGCGCAGAUAGCCCUGGUGCGUGGCAGCGGCCGUGUGGGCAGCAGCGGGACCAAGGUGUCUUCACCUCUGACUGACGAGGAUGGUGGCUUUGUUCUCAUUCGUCGCGAGGAGGUGGGGCUCUCCCAGAAGGCUGAGGAGGUGUAUGCUCAACUGCACAAGAUGCUUCAGGAGCAGCAGGAGAAGUGCCUGCUGUACUCCAAGCAAUUCAUGCACCAGGGCAACGUGGCAGAAACCACGCGGUUUGAGAAACUGGCCGAGGACCGUAAGAAACAGCUGGAGAUGCUGCAGCUGGCGCAGGCACAAGGCCUGGACCCUCCCAGCCACCGCUUCGAGGAGAAGACCUUCCAGACCGUGAGGAUCUUCUCAGAGCUCAGCAGCACCGAGAUGCACCUUGUCGUCGUGAGGGGCAUGAACCUCCCUGCCCCACCAGGCGUCACUCCUGAUGACCUGGAUGCGUUUGUUCGAUUUGAGUUCCACUAUCCCAGCUCGGACCAGGCCCAGAAAAGCAAGACGUCUGUGGUGAAGAACACCAACUCUCCAGCAGAGUUUGACCAGCUCUUCAAACUGAACAUCAAUCGGAACCACCGGGGCUUCCGCAGGCUGGUCCAGAGCAAGGGAAUCAAGUUUGAGAUUUUUCACAAGGGAUCCUUCUUCAGAAGUGAUAAGCAGGUUGGGACGGCCCAUCUGAAGCUUGAGCGGCUGGAGAGAGAGUGUGAAAUCAGGGAGAUCCUGGAGGUCUUAGAUGGCAGGAAGCCAACCGGGGGCAAACUGGAGGUGAAGGUAAGACUCCGGGAGCCUCUGAGUGGACAGGACGUACAGAUGGUCACAGAGAACUGGCUGGUGCUGGAGCCCAGGGGCAUCUGAGCUCUGGUCUCUGACAGCCAUGAUGUGAUGUGUCUCUAGCACUUACCCUCCAUUCUCCCUUGGCCCUUGUGAUGCUUCUGGGAGCUCUGCCCUGGACCAGAAGCUUUGGACAUAAAGAAGACGCUGCUACCCCGAGCACCAAAGACUUGUUAAGCAAAUGCACUACUGACCAUGCUACACGCCCCCAUGUGCUGGAGAGCUGCCACGGUGCUGUGGGGCAUCGGCCAUGUGAGUGGUGGUGGGCGGCAACCCCUCUGCCUUCAGCACCUGGAGCUGAGCCCUGUCAGCCUCCCCAGCCCAUCUCUGUUGAUAGGCUCAGGCUCCUGGCCACCCUUCUGCUGACCUCGUCUGGGCUGGGCUGCACUCCUUGGGUCUUGGCUCUUCUGACCCACGUGCUGGUGGAAGACAAAGGAAAGGCCUGGUCAGCCAGCAUGCCGGGGCUAGUCCAGCCCCUGCUUGCUCCUCGGCCCCUCUCUCUGGAUGUGCCUUUAAGACAGAUGUGACUGGAAGGUUGGGGAGGUGAGCGGGACCCUGGGCCUCCCUCUGGGAAGCAGCUGCGCAUCUCACCUGGCCCCUGCUCUGCUCCUCUACCUGGGUUCUGUGCCUUCUUCUUGGACAGUAACUUGCACUAGCUUCCUACUUCCCAAAAUGUUGAGAGGAGGAAAAAAGCAGCCUUGGGUACCACGUUGGGGGAAGGGAGGGAUGCUUUGUACCCAAGACGUGCCCCCCUCCCCCAAGACUAAAAGACUGUUAACUGGAAACAAAA
Molecule: non-coding RNA, 3611 nt
Organism: Phascolarctos cinereus (koala)
Lineage: Eukaryota; Metazoa; Chordata; Mammalia; Diprotodontia; Phascolarctidae
Source: RefSeq, a predicted model, not a curated record